UUCUUUAAUUUUAAUGGAUUACUUGCUGCUGAUUCUCCCGUAGACAUAGAUAUCGAAACUCAGACCAAAUUACGUAUAUUUCUCGUGUCCUUAUUUUUCUCGUUUAUUUCUCUGACGAUUUCACGGCAAGAUCCUAUCGUUUUCGCGUAUUAUAUUCCAACAGCUUCCCUGAUGCUAAUGUUUAUCUAGCUUUUUCCAUGUAAUGGACUCUUUGCUGGUAUCCUGUCAAGAGUUAUAGCAAUUAAUAUCCUCACCAAUUGAAGUUUCGAUUUCGGGAAGCUUGUAAAAAUCUUCCAAACAUGGCACUUGCUUCUACCGAAAAAGUGAUUCUCGGGUCUAUUGCCUUUGCGAUAUUCUGGGUAUUGGCCGUUUUCCCAUCUGUGCCGUUCCUACCUGUAGGAAGAACAGCAGGUUCGCUCCUUGGAGCGAUGCUUAUGGUCAUUUUCCGGGUCAUAACCCCAGAGCAAGCUUACGCUGCGAUUGAUCUCCCAAUCCUCGGCCUUCUCUUUGGGACGAUGGUGGUUAGUGUCUAUCUGGAAAAGGCCGAUAUGUUCAAUCACCUGGGUAAGUUGCUCUCCUGGAAAAGCAAGGGAGCACAUGACUUGCUUUGUCGGAUUUGCUUGAUCUCUGCCAUUUCAAGUGCUUUCUUCACAAAUGAUACGUCUUGUGUUCUCCUGACUGAGUUCGUGCUUAAGAUAGCCGGGCAACACAAUCUCCCUCCGCAUCCAUUUUUACUUGCCCUUGCGUCGAGCGCCAAUAUUGGGUCUUCGGCGACUCCCAUUGGGAAUCCUCAAAAUUUAGUCAUAGCUAUGCAGAGUAAGAUCUCAUUUGGGAGUUUUCUCGUCGUACUCCUUCCUCCAACGGUGAUCGGGGUUCUCGUCAAUGCGCUGAUUCUUCUAUGCAUGUACUGGAAGCUACUGUCCGUCCAAAAGGACGAAGAGGAUGCAGCUUCUGAAGUAGUAGCUGAGAAAGAUGUGAGUUCUCAUGAGAUGCAUCUUCUUCUUCCUUUUAGAAACCGGUCGACUUCUUGUGAGAAUGAAACUCACCAGGUCUCAAGCAGUGCGCCUGCGUCGGCAAGGAACUCAACUGCAUCGGAAGAGACGCUUCACAACGGUGCUUCUCAGAAAAAGCAUGGAACGGCUGCUUCCGAUGAAGUCGUAUCUGUCAACGGGUUGAAUGAUGUGUUCCCAGAGAAGCAUUCAAAGGGGAAGGAAACACUUGCCCCUCGAUUUAAGAGGAUAUUAUGGAAAUCACGCGUUUACUUUGUCACCAUCGGUAUGCUGAUCUCUUUUUUGAUAGGUCUGAAUAUGUCUUGGACAGCUAUUACCGCCGCCCUGGCCCUCGUAAUUCUCGACUUUAAAGAUGCCCAGUCUUGUCUAGAGAAGGUCUCCUACCCUCUGUUGAUAUUCUUUUGUGGAAUGUUCAUCACGGUCGAUGGAUUCAACAGAACUGGAAUUCCAAGCGCUCUCUGGGACUGGAUGGAGCCACAUGCCAAAGUCAAUUGUGCUAGCGGGAUAGCUGUUCUUGCUGUUGUCAUUUUGGUGCUGUCGAAUGUCGCUUCGAAUGUGCCAACCGUUCUCUUGCUUGGAAGCCAGGUGGCUACAUCAGCGGCUGCUAUUUCAGCCGCGGAAGUGAAGAAGUCAUGGCUCAUAUUAGCUUGGGUGAGCUCUGUUGCAGGGAAUCUCUCGCUGCUUGGAUCGGCGGCCAACUUGAUUGUGUGCGAAAAGGCUCGCCUGGCCCCAAAUCUUGGCUACACUCUGUCCUUCUGGAACCACUUGAAGUUUGGAGUCCCUUCCACCAUUAUUGUAACUGCCAUAGGCUUGGCACUAAUAAGAUGACAAGAAGUAACUAAUAGCAUCUCUCCUGGAUGCUCGAUAGAUCUUUCAAUUAAGGCAAUCUCCUACUGAACUCGCUAUCAGAAUGCGAUAAUCAGAAUUUCAGACAGGAGAUGAAAGUCUCAUCAACACCGGUUUGGCAUCCAGUAAUACGCAGUGGUACCAAGUUGUUCCGUCGGGCCCCAAUUCAGCACAUAGGCGCCCACAGGAUAAGCUCUCUACAGCCCAAGCUCGUACGAUAAUGAUUUUAUAAUGAGGGAACUAGGACUUCUGCAAGCCCUCACUGAAUAAGUUUCUUCGCUUCAGGACUUCCUAUAGUUCAUCCGAAAGAAAGCAAAGUAUGAUAUACAACGUAAUCUUGCACGUCACGGGGGCGAAUCUCCUGCGACUUGACUUAGAAUGAGAUGACAAGAGCAUGUAGUUGCUCCUCCUUCCUCUUUGCUUCUCGCAAAAAUAGAAAGAAGACAGUCAAUUUUCUCUUCUUCUUUUUUCUUCUUUUUCUUUUUUCCUUUCGUUUUGAAUUUGUGGAUUCAGUGCGACUUCUGCCAUGUUGUGUUUGUG
Eucalyptus grandis is the source of this 2396-nucleotide RNA transcript. It is a transcript of the gene named silicon efflux transporter LSI2, with no coding region annotated. The record is from RefSeq and is a predicted model, not a curated record. NCBI's taxonomy places the organism in Eukaryota, Viridiplantae, Streptophyta, Magnoliopsida, Myrtales, Myrtaceae. The transcript is spliced from 4 exons.